CCAAUACUUUUAUAGAACUUUGAUUCUAAAUUAUCUGCGUUAACAAAUGGUGAAACUUUUAUUUACGCUAAGGGAGGUUUUUGUUUGGAUACCACUGUCAUUUAUUAGACUGAAGGAAGGGACUUUUGAGUCCCUUUUAAGAUGUCUUAGUGCAAGCAUAUGAAGAGUGGUUAUAUGGUGUAAUUCUGGUUACUAAAGGUGACCCCAAAAAAACCAAAUAAAAGUAAUAAAAAAAAAGCAAGGACAAAAUAAACUUGUUAUUUGUAGUCUUAACGGGAUAAAGGCCGGAGAUUUCCCACUGGGCUGUGGACAUCGUACAAAUGCCAAGGUUCCCAAACCUUUAUAAAGAAAAGAAAAAUCCUGCAAGACACUCAGGAUGUGUUAAUCAUGCAUCGCAAACAAGGUAACAGCAUUCCCUAAUACUGCUCUCCGCACGCUAAUGUGUCCUGCGCAGUCUAACCAUCCAUGAUCGUUCCUUCAGUAUUGGCAUCAUGGGCUCCUGAGCUCCUGCCUGCUGGUUUGUGGUAACAAUCUGGUUAAACUGCGCAGGCAGUGAAUGUUAAAACUAUAAUAUCCCAUUAUAAACUGGCAGCAGAUUUAUGUAAUAACUUCAAACCUUACAAAAAACAGCUUUAAAAAGCCAUUCUGUCUAAAAUAGUUAUAACAUUGUAUCUUUAAUGUAACUUCUUAAAAAGUUUUCCAAGUUGCCUAUAAUGUUAAUAGCUUUAAUUGUACAACUAUAAUAUCUGCUCAGUUCUUUAAAACCAGAAAAAAUAUUCUCCCCAAACCCUAUCCUCUGCCAAACUGUCUUGAUGCAUUUCCCUCCUUGUUCUUUUCAAACUUUAAAUUUCUGGGUUAUUGGGUUGGCGUCAAAGUUACAGAACUGACAUUUCGUUCUUAUUUUGCAGGUGAUGUAUGGAGAUAAGAUCAAUGUCUGACAGAUUUUGAAGCACAAAUGAAGGUAGAGCUGCUCCUUUACUCUGACCGCAUCUAAUAAAACAACGUAAACGGCUUUGUGGAGUGGACAUGUUAAUCUGCCAUCUUGAAAGUACUGUCAAGAGGAAAUAAGAUCUCUUCAAACAAAAUUGUGGUGCCUUGUAAUGAGUUGGUCAUUUGGCAGAUAUCUAACUUGGUAUGGUUGCCUGAAGAUUUAAAAAAAGAA
Pelobates fuscus (common spadefoot toad) is the source of this 1162-nucleotide long non-coding RNA. RefSeq lists it as uncharacterized. The record is from RefSeq and is a predicted model, not a curated record. Lineage: Eukaryota; Metazoa; Chordata; Amphibia; Anura; Pelobatidae. The transcript is spliced from 3 exons.